GACGAACGCUGGCGGCGUGCUUAACACAUGCAAGUCGAACGGAAAGGCCCUGCUUUUGUGGGGUGCUCGAGUGGCGAACGGGUGAGUAACACGUGAGUAACCUGCCCUUGACUUUGGGAUAACUUCAGGUAACUGGGGCUAAUACCGGCUAGGAGCUCCUGCUGCAUGGUGGGGGUUGGCAAGUUUCGGCGGUUGGGGAUGGUCUCGCGGCUUAUCAGCUUGUUGGGGGGGUAGUGGCUUACCAAGGCUUUGACGGGUAGCCGGCCUGGGAGGGUGACCGGGGACAAGGGGACUAGGGGAGGCCGCAGAGGGGAAUGGUGGGCAGUGGGGGGAAGUAUGGUGCAAGGGGGGGAAGCGUAUGACGAAAACCCCGGGGUGGGAAAGUCGGCUUUGGGGUGAGAAACCGAGUUCGGUUGAUACGAAGGCUGAGUGACGGUAAUGGGAGAAGAAGCACCGGCUAACUCCGU
RNAcentral lists this ribosomal RNA (467 nucleotides) under uncultured bacterium. Its description in RNAcentral is "partial 16S ribosomal RNA". It matches the Rfam family "Bacterial small subunit ribosomal RNA", at positions 28 to 506 of the family's 1533-position model. The record is from RNAcentral.